CCUACAGGCGGCAGCAGUGGGGAAUCUUGCGCAAUGGGCGAAAGCCUGACGCAGCCAUGCCGCGUGAAUGAUGAAGGUCUUAGGAUUGUAAAAUUCUUUCACCGGGGACGAUAAUGACGGUACCCGGAGAAGAAGCCCUGGCUAACUUCGUGCCAGCAGCCGCGGUAAUACGAAGGGGGCUAGCGUUGCUCGGAAUUACUGGGCGUAAAGGGAGCGUAGGCGGAUAGUUUAGUCAGAGGUGAAAGCCCAGGGCUCAACCUUGGAAUUGCCUUUGAUACUGGCUAUCUUGAGUGUGGGAGAGGUAUGUGGAACUCCGAGUGUAGAGGUGAAAUUCGUAGAUAUUCGGAAGAACACCAGUGGCGAAGGCGACAUACUGGCCCAUUACUGACGCUGAGGCUCGAAAGCGUGGGGAGCAAACAGGAUUAGAUACCCUAGUAGUC
RNAcentral lists this ribosomal RNA (440 nucleotides) under uncultured Caulobacter sp. RNAcentral's name for it is "bacterial SSU rRNA". It matches the Rfam family "Bacterial small subunit ribosomal RNA", at positions 338 to 795 of the family's 1533-position model. Lineage: Bacteria; Pseudomonadati; Pseudomonadota; Alphaproteobacteria; Caulobacterales; Caulobacteraceae. The record is from RNAcentral.